This 577-nucleotide ribosomal RNA is filed under the name Aureobasidium pullulans. Its description in RNAcentral is "eukaryotic LSU rRNA". It matches the Rfam family "Eukaryotic large subunit ribosomal RNA", at positions 62 to 654 of the family's 3401-position model. Lineage: Eukaryota; Fungi; Ascomycota; Dothideomycetes; Dothideales; Saccotheciaceae. The record is from RNAcentral.
AAACCAACAGGGAUUGCCCUAGUAACGGCGAGUGAAGCGGCAACAGCUCAAAUUUGAAAGCUGGCCUUCGGGUCCGCAUUGUAAUUUGUAGAGGAUGCUUUGGGUGAAACGCCAGUCUAAGUUCCUUGGAACAGGACGUCAUAGAGGGUGAGAAUCCCGUAUGUGACUGGAAAUGUUAACCUAUGUAAAGCUCCUUCGACGAGUCGAGUUGUUUGGGAAUGCAGCUCUAAAUGGGAGGUAAAUUUCUUCUAAAGCUAAAUAUUGGCGAGAGACCGAUAGCGCACAAGUAGAGUGAUCGAAAGAUGAAAAGCACUUUGGAAAGAGAGUUAAAAAGCACGUGAAAUUGUUGAAAGGGAAGCGCUUGCAAUCAGACUUGUUUAAACUGUUCGGCCGGUCUUCUGACCGGUUUACUCAGUUUGGACAGGCCAGCAUCAGUUUCGGCGGCCGGAUAAAGGCUCUGGGAAUGUGGCCUUCACUUCGGUGAAGGUGUUAUAGCCCAGGGUGUAAUACGGCCAGCCGGGACUGAGGUCCGCGCUUCGGCUAGGAUGCUGGCGUAAUGGUUGUAAGCGACCCGUCU